UGAAUUUAAUCAACAAAACACACACAUAUCGACACAUCCGUCCUGGGUGCCGCUUUGCGGUGGGGCGAUGGGAUAUGUGGAGGUUAUAAC
RNAcentral lists this small RNA (90 nucleotides) under Marinobacterium stanieri. Its description in RNAcentral is "t44 RNA". It matches the Rfam family "t44 RNA". Rfam says of the family: This family consists of a number of bacterial RNA genes of between 135 and 170 bases in length. Lineage: Bacteria; Pseudomonadati; Pseudomonadota; Gammaproteobacteria; Oceanospirillales; Oceanospirillaceae. The record is from Rfam by way of RNAcentral.